Molecule: ribosomal RNA, 483 nt
Filed under: uncultured bacterium
Lineage: Bacteria
Description: partial 16S ribosomal RNA
Rfam family: Bacterial small subunit ribosomal RNA
Source: RNAcentral
AUUGAACGCUGGCGGCAGGCCUAACACAUGCAAGUCGAGCGGAUGAAGGGAGCUUGCUCCUGGAUUCAGCGGCGGACGUGUGAGUAAUGCCUAGGAAUCUGCCUGGUAGUGGGGGAUAACGUCCGGAAACGGGCGCUAAUACCGCAUACGUCCUGAGGGAGAAAGUGGGGGAUCUUCGGACCUCACGCUAUCAGAUGAGCCUAGGUCGGAUUAGCUAGUUGGUGGGGUAAAGGCCUACCAAGGCGACGAUCCGUAACUGGUCUGAGAGGAUGAUCAGUCACACUGGAACUGAGACACGGUCCAGACUCCUACGGGAGGCAGCAGUGGGGAAUAUUGGACAAUGGGCGAAAGCCUGAUCCAGCCAUGCCGCGUGUGUGAAGAAGGUCUUCGGAUUGUAAAGCACCUUAAGUUGGGAGGAAGGGCAGUAAGUUAAUACCUUGCUGUUUUGACGUUACCAACAGAAUAAGCACCGGCUAACUUCGU